UGGGGAAUUUUGCACAAGGGGGGAAACCCUGAUGCAGCGACGCCGCGUGAUUUAGAAGGCCUUCGGGUUGUAAAAAUCUUUUUUACGGGAUGAAAAUGACAGUACCGUAAGAAUAAGGUCCGGCUAAAUACGUGCCAGCAGCCGCGGUAAUACGUAUGGACCGAGCGUUGUCCGGAAUCAUUGGGCGUAAAGGGUACGUAGGCGGCCUAGUAAGUUAGAAGUGAAAUAAUAUAGCUCAACUAUAUAAAGCUUUUAAAACUGCUAGGCUUGAGAGAUGGAAGGGAAAGUUGAAUUCCUAGUGUAGCGGUGAAAUGCGCAGAUAUUAGGAAGGAUAACGGUAGCGAAGGCGACUUUCUGGUCAUCAUCUGACGCUGAGGUACGAAAGCGUGGGUAGCAAACAGG
This 402-nucleotide ribosomal RNA is filed under the name bacterium. RNAcentral's name for it is "partial 16S ribosomal RNA". It matches the Rfam family "Bacterial small subunit ribosomal RNA", at positions 355 to 776 of the family's 1533-position model. The record is from RNAcentral.